UUUAAUUGAGUGCUAAAAGAAUGGAGUUUCAAAAAAAGUCUAUCUUGAAUUCAAAAAUUGAAUUUAUUUUUAUUUGUGAAGAAACAAUAAUUAAAAUUAAGGACAAGAAGACCCUAAGAAUUUUUAAUUUUGUAUAUAUAUAUAUAUUUAUAUAUACAAAAUUUUAAUUGGGGCGAUUAAAAAAUAUAGUUAACUUUUAAUUUUAAAAAAUGAUCCAUUAUUAGUGAUUUAAUGUAAAAAAUACUCUAGGGAUAACAGCGUAAUAA
RNAcentral lists this ribosomal RNA (266 nucleotides) under Haemaphysalis flava. Its description in RNAcentral is "partial large subunit ribosomal RNA". The record is from RNAcentral. Lineage: Eukaryota; Metazoa; Arthropoda; Arachnida; Ixodida; Ixodidae.